Alligator mississippiensis (American alligator) is the source of this 2244-nucleotide long non-coding RNA. RefSeq lists it as uncharacterized. The record is from RefSeq and is a predicted model, not a curated record. The transcript has 7 exons. NCBI's taxonomy places the organism in Eukaryota, Metazoa, Chordata, Crocodylia, Alligatoridae.
AAGCCGGCGCUGCGGAAGCGGGGUCGGGCGCAGAGGCAGCUGGCCCCCUUGGUGGCAGCGCAGCUGCGAGGUGCGACCCGCCCCCCCCGCCGGCGCCCACCUGUGACGUCAGCCAUCACCGUGAACAUCACAGGUGCAGCAGGAAGUCGUAGAGCUGCCCCGUUUCCCUCCCCCUUCGCCCACAUUUGAGAAAUUGAGAAAAAACAAUCAGGUGCCUAAUCCACUAAUUGAAAGGAUGACCCCCAUUUGAAAAAUAAAUCAAAGGAAUAGAACCUAUGCUGAGUGAGAAGUGCCAACUCAGCAACUGAUUAUGAUUUAAGGAAUCCUGGAAGACUGAAGUGACUGAUUUCAACCUGCGAUGCAUCUGAAACUGCAUUUUUUGCUCAAAUGUUAUAUGUUGGCUGAUCUCGUACGGCAUGCUUUAAACUAGCUUCGCUGGAGGAUGGGGCCACAGGAGGACAUGAGGACACCUCCCAGCCAAAACAGGGGAUGAGCAUAAGAGGUACCCAGUCAGAAAUCCCCAGAAGACAAAAGGACAAAACCCAAUGAAGGAAGCAGCACACUGCACUCUAAGCAGACUAAAGCAAUUCCACACCUCCUCUACACUCCUGGCAUUCAUAGCAAGGAGAAGAAAAUUCAAGAGAAGCAAUGACUUUGAAGCUUAAUGCUCCACCCUUCAGCCACAAAGGAAACUUGAAACUUAAAAGCAAUUAUGUGUAAAGUAAUUCCAGUUGGGGGUCCAAACCAGUGCAUCAGCCAGAUUUUUGCAUAAGUCUUCAAACAAGAAACAACCUAAAUUCAAUUUUUAAACUAAGAUUUUCAAUUAUUUUAAUGUCUUCAUGGAUCUAGGCUAAAAGAUUUGGGUAUGGCAGACUCAGGACCAGAUGCUCCAUCUGCACUGGAAGAACUCCUACCCCCCUGUGAGCAGGAUGGGGACUUCAAGCUUUACAAAAUUCCCUCCACCACAGAAGCCUCUUAGCAUGCAUAAAAAUAAUGUCAGGCUCUGAAGAUCAGAAUGGGGAGAGAGUGCCUGUCACUUCUGCCCUUGCAUUGUGUAGUCUGCCUGUGAACCCUCUGAACAGAAGUUCUUCCAUGAGUUACUGCAGUUUCUAAACUGACAAAAAGAAAAAAAACACAAUUAAGGAAAAAAGGAUCCAAAGACAUGGCAGCUCUCCCCACUCUUACUUCAAGAUAUUCCAACUAGCAUCUUGGCAUCCUCAUGAAAAAUUUCAGAUUUCCCAACAACAGUCCCUUCUACUGACAUGAAGUUGGAAGCCCAUUCCCACCAAGGAAAAAGUAGGAUAGUAUUUCUGAGACUAUCCAUUUGCCAAGAGGAGUGGACAAUCUAUUCUAAGGAUGGGGGGGAAAGGUCAGUUUCUUGUGCUGUUCUUCAUUAUUGCUGGAAGCAAAUAGGCAUCCAAGUAUUUUUUUUAAAGUACUUGGGUAUACUUAAAACCUUCUAAUUUAUUGUUCUCCAAUUACACCACCAAUUUAUUUUUUUUAUUUACAUGCCUCCUUUUUGGAUGUAACGGUCAUAUUUUCUUUGCUCUUGUAGCUUCUCCUGAAGGCAUUUUUAUCCUUAAUAGUUCAACUGACUGGCAUUUUUAUAUUGGACUUUGAAGUCCAAAAUGCUUACAAAAAUAUGUUCUGUUGUGACACUAUGCAUUUCAUAACACAUGCAUUUUCUGACAGUAAUCUCAUUACCAUCCAUUAAUCAUUUUGUUUCAGAGAACAGUGGGUAAAAAGUCUAUAUUUUUAAGCUGCCUUUCAAAGAGCAAAAAUUAGGAAAGUAAACCUAUAUUAACAUGUCUUGCUUUCAUUCAUCAUUUUCCCCAUACACAAAACUAAAAACAGUGCAGCAAUAUGAUUUUAAGGUUCAAAACAAUAGCAGCUAAAAUGUUUCAUUAAAUUACAUGCUUUGUACAAUGCCAAACUAUCAGUAAGCCAUUUUUCACCAGUUAGAUUUAUGAAUAACUUCAACCAUAGAAUUUUUUUGAACAAGCUUUGAUAUUUUAAAGACAAAGUGAAGAGGACACUACAAGUAACACGUUAAAACAAUCUGCAAUGGACAGCUUGCCUUACAAAAUGUACUCGCUACAGAAAUCUUGGGGAGGUUAAUAAUAUGUUAAAUUAUGCUAUGUAGCCUGCCUGGCAACAGGGACCAUUUUCAUUUGCAAUGGAAAUGAGGCAUUCUGUACAAGGUGUCAAAGACAAAAGAGAAAGUUAAAGGACUUUUGAGAAUCA